CAACUGGCCGGACUCGGCUCCCAGGGACUCCGAAAACAGUCCGCGGAUGCGCAGGGCCCCGGAGUCCGUAUUUUCAUUGCGCUCCGCAAGGGACUCGCCCCGUUUGGGGACCCCUGCAGCGAUGUCUAAAAUGCACGCGUGGGAAGGACACCUGCGCCCCUCUAGUCAAGGCCCGGAGGGUCGCCUGUGGCCCCUUCUUGUAUGCAGCGUUUCCGGGUGUGUGUCGGCAGCUCCGAGGGUCCAGACAGGGCCCCGGCCCCAGCCAGGGAGGAGUCAGGGGCGAUGGUGUUUUCGGGUCUCCUGGAAGACCCGGGCCCGCUGGGCCUUAAAUUCAGAUGGAAAGCAAACUAAAUGUUUAGCCUCUAAUGUUGACGCAUUUCUAACACUGAUGCCUGAGUAGCUGCAUCAACAGGUAAAGACAAGAAGAUAGCACUAGGUGAGCACUGAACAGCUCAGGAGUCCAGGACCUCAACACUUAAACAAGCUUGAUCCCAUCUGGAUACAUUUCGCAUGUUAUCGAAGAGCAAGAAACAUGGAAACAAACAACAAUGCUAGGAUGGAGGACAUAAACACUUCACCAGGUACCCCAUCAUGCUCUCCAGUCACAGCCUCCCCUUCCUGCUCUCCCCAUGCUGUUUCCCUGUCCCCUACCUCAGUAUUUAUGCUUCGUAUGCUUUUCUUAGACUCACCGUUAUUG
RNAcentral lists this long non-coding RNA (697 nucleotides) under Dasypus novemcinctus (nine-banded armadillo). RNAcentral describes it as "lncRNA (ENSDNOG00000052158.1)". Lineage: Eukaryota; Metazoa; Chordata; Mammalia; Cingulata; Dasypodidae. The record is from RNAcentral.